Molecule: non-coding RNA, 288 nt
Organism: Prunus avium (sweet cherry)
Lineage: Eukaryota; Viridiplantae; Streptophyta; Magnoliopsida; Rosales; Rosaceae
Source: RefSeq, a predicted model, not a curated record
AGCUGAGAUUGAAUUCUUCGCUUCCCUCGUAAAAGCUGACGGUUGGCUGACAGGAGAUCACAUUGAUUUGGGGUUGUAUCUCAUCCGGAAGCGACAACAAGAUUUGGAGGUUGUAGAAAUAUCGAACUGGACAACGACCGAUGUAUUUUUCAUGAAUCACAUCCAUACUUGCUUUGCGGAUAAUAAAAGAAAAAAAGAGCAGGCUGGGUGGAAAAUUAGAAACAGUUUAGUGAACGUUGUAAAUGGCAAGGUUCCGGCGUGUGGGGUGGAUUGGCAGAACGUGUAUAA